AGGACGAACGCUGGCGGCGUGCUUAACACAUGCAAGUCGAGCGGAAAGGCUCCUUCGGGGGUACUCGAGCGGCGAACGGGUGAGUAACACGUGAGUAAUCUGCCCUCCACUCUGGGAUAACGUUCAGAAAUGGGUGCUAAUACCGGAUGUGCACAGGCUGACGCAUGUUGGUGUGUGGAAAGUUUUUUCGGCGAGGGAUGAGCCCGCGGCCUAUCAGCUUGUUGGUGGGGUAAUGGCCUACCAAGGCAGUGACGGGUA
RNAcentral lists this ribosomal RNA (258 nucleotides) under uncultured bacterium. Its description in RNAcentral is "partial small subunit ribosomal RNA". It matches the Rfam family "Bacterial small subunit ribosomal RNA", at positions 26 to 285 of the family's 1533-position model. The record is from RNAcentral.